Molecule: long non-coding RNA, 1782 nt
Organism: Chenopodium quinoa (quinoa)
Lineage: Eukaryota; Viridiplantae; Streptophyta; Magnoliopsida; Caryophyllales; Amaranthaceae
Exons: 4
Source: RefSeq, a predicted model, not a curated record
UCCUGCUUUUCUUUCUUUCUUUCUUUCCCCCCGUUUUUUCCAUCUGAUCUUCUAUUUUCCCUAGCUCUAGGUUUUGCCUUCAAUUCUCUUACUUCCACCAUCUCGAAUUUUCACCUUCUCCAUUGAAGUGGUUUACGAGCUUUCUCACUCCAUUGAAGCAGCACCUCCUUCUCUCUCCAUAUCUCUGGCCUCCAUUGAACUCGUGCUCUAUAUUCUCCAUCGAAGCCGAUUCCGAGCUUUCUCACAUCCAUUGAAGCAGCUUUGAGGUCAUGUGGUCUUCUUAAUCUAUUGAAUUCCUUCGCAAUUUAGGGUUUGUCGUUGAUUUGGUUUUCAAUUUCGUAAUUUUAGGGUUUUGGUUUUAUUUCUAUUUUUUGUCGAACAAAAUAAGUAGCAAAUUUGAUAAAUUUUGAAGAGGGGUUUGAUUAUUUAAUUCCGGGUAUAUAUUUAGCUGGAUUGCAAUCGAUUGGAUCAUUGGAAUUAAUCGUUUUGGAUCCGAUUUUGGGGGAAACGCCAUCCCAUGGCGCUGUUUCGUCAAUUCUUCUAUUGGAAGCCACCUGAUCGGCUUCUUGAAAUUUCUGAGCGAGUUUUGGGUUAGGGUUAUGAAUUUAAUGUUGGUUAAUUAUUUGUGCAAUUGGUUAUAAAUUUCUGGGUUUGUUUGAAUUAUGGGUUUUGUUUAAUGGGUUGGUUUUGAUUUUUUGUUAUAAUGUGUGUAAGUGUUGAAUUUUGUUGAUCAUUGAGCUUGAAAUGCUUCAAUUUAUGCUGAGUUUGAUGCAAUCUGUGGGGUUGUUAGGGUUAGAUUUUGGUUUCCAUUUCUGGGUUUUAGAACAAUGAAUGACAAAAAACACAUUAUUCUGGUUAACGACUUAAAGCAAAGCCACACCUUAUUAGCUGGUCAACAGCCUGGUCAAUUUGUUGAAAAGAAACAUAUAUUUUAAUCACACUUGUCUUCCAUACUUUCUCCUACUCUGAUGAGCAGACAUUGAAUUUCAGGCAUUCUUCCGUUGACCAUUAUUACUUUGCAUUUUUUUAGUUUUCUUUUCAUAUUUGCCGUGUUUUUUUUUCAAAAUUUCCUUUUAAGUUAAAAUUUCUUUGGUCCACUAAUUACUCCCUAGUUUACAAUUUUACAGCCUUAAUUUGUACGGAAACACUUUGCAGACUCUUCUCUUCUCUCCCUUUUUUUGUACAAAGAAACUGUACAGCUUUCAUUCUCAAUUCAAGCACUCAAAGUGUUUUGGUAAUUUUGGAUUAACAACUUUUGGUUUAUAAGGGAAUCUUUUCGUGGUGGUUACAUAGUAUGCCUUGUUUCCCUUGCUUGUUUGGUAAAAGAGUUGAGUCUGCUGUCAGAACUCCUGCUGCUGCUGCUGAAGGCUGCUUGUGGUCUGACUAACAAGCCAAAGGAACAAGUAGCUGACAUUGAUGCAUCUGAUGUUGAUAAUGAGUUAGCUGUGGUUGAAUAUGUUGAAGAUAUAUACACUUUCUAUAAGAUAGCAAAGCAAAACUGUUGAGUGCUUAAGCACAGCAAAGGAAGAGCAACAAAUUUUGAAGGAAGAGCAGCCACCAGCACAAGACAACAGCCUGCCUGAACAGAAGCAAAACCAAUCACCCAGCCAGCUUGAACAGAGCAGAAACACAGCCACAGCCAGCAGAGCAGCCACCAGCACAAGACCAGUACAUCUAGUUAAAUGAAAUGCAAGAAAGGUCGAUCAUGGAUAAGUCUAGAUUAUUUAUUUUUUUUUGGACGAAAAUUGUAAUAUUAAAGCCUUUUUUAAUGAAAAUAUGUAA